AUUGAACGCUGGCGGCAGGCCUAACACAUGCAAGUCGAGCGGAUGAAGGGAGCUUGCUCCUGGAUUCAGCGGCGGACGGGUGAGUAAUGCCUAGGAAUCUGCCUGGUAGUGGGGGAUAACGUCCGGAAACGGGCGCUAAUACCGCAUACGUCCUGAGGGAGAAAGUGGGGGAUCUUCGGACCUCACGCUCUCAGAUGAGCCUAGGUCGGAUUAGCUAGUUGGUGGGGUAAAGGCCUACCAAGGCGACGAUCCGUAACUGGUCUGAGAGGAUGAUCAGUCACACUGGAAGUGAGACACGGUCCAGACUCCUACGGGAGGCAGCAGUGGGGAAUAUUGGACAAUGGGCGAAAGCCUGAUCCAGCCAUGCCGCGUGUGUGAAGAAGGUCUUCGGAUUGUAAAGCACUUUAAGUUGGGAGGAAGGGCAGUAAGUUAAUACCUUGCUGUUUUGACGUUACCAACAGAAUAAGCACCGGCUAACUUCGUG
Molecule: ribosomal RNA, 484 nt
Filed under: uncultured bacterium
Lineage: Bacteria
Description: partial 16S ribosomal RNA
Rfam family: Bacterial small subunit ribosomal RNA
Source: RNAcentral